AUAGAUUAAGUUAUUAAGGGUGCACGGUGGAUGCCUUGGCACUAGAAGCCGAUGAAGGACGUUACUAACGACGAUAUGCUUUGGGGAGCUGUAAGUAAGCUUUGAUCCAGAGAUUUCCGAAUGGGGAAACCCAGCAUGAGUUAUGUCAUGUUAUCGAUAUGUGAAUACAUAGCAUAUCAGAAGGCACACCCGGAGAACUGAAA
This 203-nucleotide ribosomal RNA is filed under the name Staphylococcus aureus MUM475. RNAcentral's name for it is "partial 23S ribosomal RNA". It matches the Rfam family "Bacterial large subunit ribosomal RNA", at positions 1 to 198 of the family's 2925-position model. The record is from RNAcentral. Lineage: Bacteria; Bacillati; Bacillota; Bacilli; Caryophanales; Staphylococcaceae.